This 650-nucleotide ribosomal RNA is filed under the name uncultured Lachnospiraceae bacterium. RNAcentral's name for it is "bacterial SSU rRNA". It matches the Rfam family "Bacterial small subunit ribosomal RNA", at positions 66 to 725 of the family's 1533-position model. Lineage: Bacteria; Bacillati; Bacillota; Clostridia; Lachnospirales; Lachnospiraceae. The record is from RNAcentral.
ACUUCGGUCAAAUGACUUUUGAACUUAGUGGCGGACGGGUGAGUAACGCGUGAGCAACCUGCCUUUCAGAGGGGGAUAACAUUUGGAAACAGAUGCUAAUACCGCAUAAGAUUACAGUACCGCAUGAUACAGUGAUCAAAGGAGCAAUCCGCUGAAAGAUGGGCUCGCGUCCGAUUAGAUAGUUGGUGAGGUAACGGCUCACCAAGGUCGACGAUCGGUAGCCGGACUGAGAGGUUGAACGGCCACAUUGGGACUGAGACACGGACCAGACUCCUACGGGAGGCAGCAGUGGGGAAUAUUGCACAAUGGGCGAAAGCCUGAUGCAGCCACGCCGCGUGAGGGAAGACGGUUCUCGGAUUGUAAACCUCUGUUUGCGGUGACGAACAUAUGACGGUAACCGAGUAAGAAGCCACGGCUAACUACGUGCCAGCAGCCGCGGUAAUACGUAGGUGGCAAGCGUUAUCCGGAAUUACUGGGUGUAAAGGGAGCGUCAGGCGGGAUAGCAAGUCAGACGUGUGAAUACCUAUGGGCUCAACCCAUAAACUCCAGUUGUAACUGUUAUUCUUGAGUGGAGUAGAGGCAAGCGGAAUUCCGAGUGUAGCGGUGAAAUGCGUAGAUAUCACGGAGGAACACCGAGUGGCGAAGGCGGC